UUAAAAAGCUCGUAGUUGAAUUUCGGGGUUAGUAGGUUGGUCAUGCCUCUGGUAUGUACUGGUCUCACUGAUUCCUCCUUCCUGAUGAACCAUAAUGCCAUUAAUUUGGUGUUGCGGGGAAUUUGGACUGUUACUUUGAAAAAAUUAGAGUGUUUAAAGCAAGCUAACGCUUGAAUACAUUAGCAUGGAAUAAUGAAAUAGGACGUUCGAUCCUAUUUUGUUGGUUUCUAGGAUUGACGUAAUGAUUAAUAGGGAUAGUUGGGGG
This 265-nucleotide ribosomal RNA is filed under the name uncultured Glomus. RNAcentral's name for it is "partial 18S ribosomal RNA". It matches the Rfam family "Eukaryotic small subunit ribosomal RNA", at positions 619 to 888 of the family's 1831-position model. Lineage: Eukaryota; Fungi; Glomeromycota; Glomeromycetes; Glomerales; Glomeraceae. The record is from RNAcentral.